GCAGACACAUUCCAGCCAAUCAGCAGCAGACCCUCCCUCCGAGACCCUCCCACCUCCUGGACAGCAUCCAUUGUGAAGCUGCAUUCUUAGUGAGCUGUCCAGGAGGUGGGAGGGUCUGGGAGGGAGGGUCUGCUGCUGAUUGGCUGGAAUGUAUCUG
Non-coding RNA from Pelobates cultripes (western spadefoot toad), 157 nucleotides. NCBI's taxonomy places the organism in Eukaryota, Metazoa, Chordata, Amphibia, Anura, Pelobatidae. The record is from the annotation of a GenBank genome assembly.